Pelobates cultripes (western spadefoot toad) is the source of this 236-nucleotide non-coding RNA. The record is from the annotation of a GenBank genome assembly. NCBI's taxonomy places the organism in Eukaryota, Metazoa, Chordata, Amphibia, Anura, Pelobatidae.
GGCGGAGCUUAAGAUGGACGCGACCACGUGAUCCACACCAUCUUUGAUUUGGGCGCGAUGCCCAAUAGAAGGAAGUGGAGCGGCUCCUGGCUCGCCAACGAGUAGGUAAGCUCGUGGUGUCGGCGAGACUGCCUGUCGGGUACGGCUGCGGCACCCGGCGGGUCGGGAGCCGCAACAGUAUGCGAAAGUUUAGGCUCCAGUGAUCACCGGUCAGUGUGGUUUAAUAUAAGAACAGU